GAUCCUGGCUCAGGAUGAACGCUAGCUACAGGCUUAACACAUGCAAGUCGAGGGGCAGCAUGGUCUUAGCUUGCUAAGGCCGAUGGCGACCGGCGCACGGGUGAGUAACACGUAUCCAACCUGCCGUCUACUCUUGGACAGCCUUCUGAAAGGAAGAUUAAUACAAGAUGGCAUCAUGAGUCCGCAUGUUCACAUGAUUAAAGGUAAUUCCGGUAGACGAUGGGGAGUG
RNAcentral lists this ribosomal RNA (229 nucleotides) under uncultured bacterium. RNAcentral describes it as "partial 16S ribosomal RNA". It matches the Rfam family "Bacterial small subunit ribosomal RNA", at positions 15 to 233 of the family's 1533-position model. The record is from RNAcentral.